UCGGGAAUUUUGGGCAAUGGGGGAAACCCUGACCCAGCAACGCCGCGUGAAGGAUGAAGUAUUUCGGUAUGUAAACUUCGAAAGAAUAGGAAGAAUAAAUGACGGUACUAUUUAUAAGGUCCGGCUAACUACGUGCCAGCAGCCGCGGUAAUACGUAGGGACCAAGCGUUGUUCGGAUUUACUGGGCGUAAAGGGCGCGUAGGCGGCAUGACAAGUCGCUUGUGAAAUCUCUGGGCUUAACCCAGAACGGCCAAGUGAUACUGUCGCGCUAGAGUGCAGAAGGGGCAAUCGGAAUUCUUGGUGUAGCGGUGAAAUGCGUAGAUAUCAAGAGGAACACCUGAGGUGAAGACGGGUUGCUGGGCUGACACUGACGCUGAGGAGCGAAAGCCAGGGGAGCAAACGGGAUUAGAUACCCAAGUAGUCCCUGAGCGGGCUGGCAAGGCGCAU
This 447-nucleotide ribosomal RNA is filed under the name uncultured bacterium. RNAcentral's name for it is "bacterial SSU rRNA". It matches the Rfam family "Bacterial small subunit ribosomal RNA", at positions 355 to 825 of the family's 1533-position model. The record is from RNAcentral.